This 453-nucleotide ribosomal RNA is filed under the name uncultured bacterium. RNAcentral describes it as "partial 16S ribosomal RNA". It matches the Rfam family "Bacterial small subunit ribosomal RNA", at positions 28 to 506 of the family's 1533-position model. The record is from RNAcentral.
GAUGAACGCUGACAGAAUGCUUAACACAUGCAAGUCAACUUGAACUUCGGUUUGGGUGGCGGACGGGUGAGUAACGCGUAAAGAACUUGCCUCACAGAUAGGGACCACAUUUGGAAACGAAUGCUAAUACCUGAUAUUAUGAUUAUAUGGCAUCGUAUAAUUAUGAAAGCUAUAUGCGCUGUGAGAGAGCUUUGCGUCCCAUUAGCUAGUUGGCGAGGUAACGGCUCACCAAGGCGAUGAUGGGUAGCCGGCCUGAGAGGGUGAUCGGCCACAAGGGGACUGAGACACGCCCGUUACCCCUACGGGAGGCAGCAGUGGGGAAUAUUAGACAAUGGACCAAGAGUCUGAUGCAGCAACUCUGUGUGGAAGAUGAAGUUUUUCGGAAUGUAAAGUGCUUUCAGUUGGGAAGAAAAAAAUGACGGUACCAACAGAAGAAGGGACGCCUAAAUACGU